CCUACGGGAGGCAGCAGUGGGGAAUAUUGGGCAAUGGGCGCAAGCCUGACCCAGCAACGCCGCGUGAAGGAAGAAGGCUUUCGGGUUAUAAACUUCUUUUCGCAGGGACGAAGAAAGUGACGGUACCUGAGGAAUAAGCCACGGCUAACUACGUGCCAGCAGCCGCGGGAAUACGUAGGUGGCAAGCGUUAUCCGGAUUUAUUGGGGGUAAGGGGCGUGGAGGCGGGAGUGCAAGUCCGAUGGUAAAACUCAGGGCCCAACCCUGAGCGUGCAUUUGAAACUGUGGUUCUUGAGUGCUGGAGAGGCAAUCGGAAUUCCGUGUGUAGCGGUGAAAUGCGUAGAUAUACGGAGGAACACCAGUGGCGAAGGCGGAUUGCUGGACAGUAACUGACGCUGAGGCGCGAAAGCGUGGGGAGCAAACAGGAUUAGAUACCCUUGUAGUC
RNAcentral lists this ribosomal RNA (443 nucleotides) under uncultured bacterium. Its description in RNAcentral is "partial 16S ribosomal RNA". It matches the Rfam family "Bacterial small subunit ribosomal RNA", at positions 338 to 795 of the family's 1533-position model. The record is from RNAcentral.